GGGGGCGCAAUGGUUUCGACGGGGGUAUGGGAUUCAUGAGAAGCGAGCCGAGGGCCCUGGACCCGCGUUAAAAAACUGGGAAUUAAAAUUAAUUGACGAAAAUUACGCUUUAGCUGCUUAAUUAACAGCAGCCGUCUUACUUGGAAGGCCUACGGUCCGGGAUAAGGCGUCGAUUUUGUAGGGAAACGAGCCGCUGAAAGCUUUGACAGCGGAACGGGAUUUUAUGAAGCUACCGAAGUAGAAGCCUGUUGGUAGGCGUCUACUAAGGGAAAUUUAAAAUAUCAACUGCGCUCGGAGAUGCUUAUGGGUGUCAGCUUUCGGACACGGGUUCGAUUCCCGUCGCCUCCACCA
This 351-nucleotide transfer-messenger RNA is filed under the name Clostridiaceae. Its description in RNAcentral is "Clostridium_AN bornimense Standard tmRNA". It matches the Rfam family "transfer-messenger RNA". Rfam says of the family: Bacterial tmRNA, also known as 10Sa RNA or SsrA, is named for its dual tRNA and mRNA-like properties. Its role is to liberate the mRNA from a stalled ribosome. The record is from RNAcentral. RNAcentral also lists the same sequence under 1 other name. Lineage: Bacteria; Bacillati; Bacillota; Clostridia; Eubacteriales.